Molecule: RNA transcript, 2348 nt
Organism: Eurytemora carolleeae
Lineage: Eukaryota; Metazoa; Arthropoda; Copepoda; Calanoida; Temoridae
Gene: fs(1)h
Gene name: bromodomain-containing protein 2
Exons: 9
Source: RefSeq, a predicted model, not a curated record
UCUUUUUCAGAGGUUAUGAAUACAUCGACGGAGUCGACAGGGGAUGAGAAUUCAUCCCCUGUAAAGCCCCGCAGUCCGCCCCCAGCCAGAGAUGAGGGCCCCCUAGCCCCAGUCAAUGGACAGGUCCAUCCACCCUUCCUACCACCCGCUGACCGACCCGGCCGUAACACCAACCAACUCCAGUACUUGAAGAAUACCGUGAUGAAAGCCGUUUGGAAACACCAGUUUGGUUGGCCAUUCCAAACCCCUGUAGAUGCCAUCAAACUUAACAUUCCUGAUUACCAUAAAAUAAUAAAACAUCCGAUGGAUUUUGGAACGAUUAAAAAGCGAUUGGAGAAUAACUACUAUUGGAGCGCAAAAGAGUGCAUAAAGGACUUUAACACGGUGUUCACCAACUGUUACGUGUACAAUAAGGCCGGGGAGGAUAUUGUUGUUAUGGCGCAAACUCUUGAGAAACUUUUCCUCACAAAAAUCGCUUCAAUGCCGAAGGAAGAAGCCGAGGUUUUGGGUCAAGCCAAGGAGAUGAAACCUAAAAAGAAUCGAACCGAAAGAUCGAUGUCUGUAACCAGUAGCACAUCGGAAACACCAAGCUUAGACCUGCCAACUCCUGAACUUAAGACUCUGACCCCAACCCCGCCAGUUUUACCACCUCCGCCGAAAGUGGAAGAACCAGCCGCAGAUUUUGCUCAGCCCAUCAAAAAGAAACAGCAAGGUGUAAAACGAAAGGCCGACACAACCACCGGUGAACCCGGAACCGGCGACGGUGACGAAAAGAAACCGGCGCGCCAGAUAAAAAAACCCGUUAAAGACAUUCCGGAUGCCGGACCCCAGCACACAUCAAAGCCAAAGGGACGGCAGACCGAGGCUAUGAAGGCCUGUCAUGAAAUCAUUAAGGAGAUGUUUAAUAAAAAACAUGGAAGUUACGCCUGGCCCUUUUAUAAACCAGUUGAUACGGAACAGCUUGAUCUUCAUGAUUAUAAACAAGUUAUAAAGAAACCAAUGGACUUGGGAACAGUGAAAGUUAAAUUGGAGGGUAGAGAUUACAGAAGUCCUGCUGAGUUUGCCGCGGAUAUGAGACUAAUAUUUACCAACUGCUACAAGUACAACCCACCAGAGCAUGAUGUUGUAGCUAUGGCUAGAAAACUUCAGGACGUGUUUGAGAUGAGAUAUGCCAAGAUCCCAGACGAUGUGAACCCCGUGAUGCAGGGUGGGUUCGUGAAGAACGAAAGCAGUGUUACCGACGCUUCAGAUUACGACAGUGAGGAUGAGAGAGAAAGAAAACUGAUGCAGUUACAGGAACAGCUGAGACAAAUGCAAGAACAGAUGAAGUUAUUGGUUGAAGAAAGUGCCAGAUCAAAGAACAAAAGAAAAUUGAAGAAAGAUGGAAUAAAGCCCGAGAAAGGAAAACGAGGAAAGGCAAAGAAGACGAGUAAACAAACCGUUGUCGAAAGCGACGAGGAAAAGACGACACCGAUGACCUACGACGAGAAGCGACAACUCAGUCUCGACAUCAAUAAACUGCCUGGCGACAAACUCGGGAAAGUUGUCCAAAUCAUCCAGCACAGAGAGCCCAGUCUCAGGGACUCUAAUCCUGACGAAAUAGAAAUAGAUUUUGAAACCUUGAAACCCUCUACACUGCGCGCUCUUGAAACCUUUGUCACGCAGUCUCUUCGGAAGAAACCGAAAAAGAAAAGUUCAAAGAAAGGGGAGAAGAAAGACGAGGGGGAAGGAGGUUCAAAACAGAAAUCCGGGAGAUUGAGCUCUAGCAGCUCAGGUAGUGAUUCAAGUGGCUCCGAUAGUUCUGAUUCAGACUCGGAAAGCUCGGAUUCCGAUUCGAAUUAAUUUCAGCCAUACGUUCCUUUAGUUUUAGAUUAUCUCCCCAAACAAGAAUAGUAACAGUCUUCUUUUAGCUCUUCAACGUUGUGCAAUUCCGGAAAAGGAAAAGUUUCGGAAUCUUUUGUUCUUCAGGACACAGUUUUGACUUGUUCGAAUGUUGUUUCUUUAUCCUGGUUGUAAAAAAAAGUUAGAGGAGAAGAAUUGGAACAUCUCCAUAAUCUCGCGCAUUUACAUUGAGCAGUAUUUGAAAAUGCGCUUACCAACCCUUCCAUCUUGGACCUUUUUCGGAAAGGUUAAAACUGAUUUAUUAUUUUACCGCAUAAUUUAAAUUCUCAUCCUUCCCCCAUCUCUCUUUUUUAAUGAUAUCAGACCUCGACAUAAUAUUUUACAGUACUCUUAACGACCUUUAUGUUAUUUUAUCAAAUGUUUGUUUACGUUUUAUCGGUGUCACUCCCGCGUAUUGUGAAUCUCCGGAAUAUAUGAAAUGAAAUACAGCAGUUCACACAUUUUAA